UCCCUGCUGUCGUCCCGCUGCAUGCUAGCUGCUCCCUCCGUCUCCACUGCAUACUAGCAGCUCCCUCCGUCUCCACUGCAUGCUAGCAGUUCCGUCCGUCUCCACUGCAUACUAGCAGCUCCGUCUCCACUGCAUGCUAGCUGCUCUGUCUCCACUGCAUGCUAGCUGCUCCGUCUGUCUCCACUGCUUGCUAGCAGGUCCGUCCGUCUCCACUGCAUGCUAGCAGCUCCGUCUCCACUGCAUGCUAGCAGUUCCGUCCGUCUCCACUGCAUACUAGCUGCUCUGUCUCCGCUGCAUGCUAGCAGCUCCGUCCGUCUCCACUGCAUGCUAGCAGCUCCGUCCGUCUCCACUGCAUGCUAGCUGUUCCGUCCGUCUCCACUGCAUGCUAGCAGCUCCGUCCGUCUCCACUGCAUGCUAGCAGCUCCGUCCGUCUCCACUGCAUGCUAGCAGCUCCGUCCGUCUCCACUGCAUGCUAGCAGCUCCGUCCGUCUCCACUGCAUGCUAGCAGCUCCGUC
Molecule: long non-coding RNA, 515 nt
Organism: Amphiprion ocellaris (clown anemonefish)
Lineage: Eukaryota; Metazoa; Chordata; Actinopteri; Pomacentridae
Source: Ensembl